RNAcentral lists this ribosomal RNA (497 nucleotides) under uncultured bacterium. Its description in RNAcentral is "partial 16S ribosomal RNA". It matches the Rfam family "Bacterial small subunit ribosomal RNA", at positions 28 to 507 of the family's 1533-position model. The record is from RNAcentral.
GAUGAACGCUGGCGGCGUGCCUAAUACAUGCGAGUCGAGCGAAGGGACGAGACGCUUGCUUCUCUGAUGUUAGCGGCGGACGGGUGAUUAACACGUGGAUAACCUACCUAUAAGACUGGGAUAACUUCGGGAAACCGGAGCUAAUACCGGAUGAUCUUUUGAACCGCAUGGUUCAAAAGUGAAAGACGGGCUUGCUGUCACUUAUCGAUGGAUCCUCGCUGCAUUGGCUAGUUGUUAAGGUAACGGCUUACCAAGCCAACGAUGCAUAGCCGACCGGGGAGAGUGAUAGGCGACCCGGGAGGUGGGCCAGGGUCACGAGUACUGCGGGACGCAGCAGUAGGGAAUGUUCGGCAAUGGGGGAAAGCCUGACGGAGUAACGCGGAGUGAGUCAUGAAGGUGUUCGGAGCGUAAAAAUCUGUUAUGAGGGAAGAACAUAUGUGUGAGGAACUGUGCACAUCUUGACGGUACCUACUCAGAAAGCAACGGCUAACUACGUG